Molecule: long non-coding RNA, 766 nt
Filed under: Homo sapiens (human)
Lineage: Eukaryota; Metazoa; Chordata; Mammalia; Primates; Hominidae
Description: HSALNT0137656
Source: RNAcentral
CUUGGUGAUUCCCAAGGAAGGCUGCAAGAUUCGAUGUGCCAACGAGACCAAGACCUGGGAGGAAGGCAAGGUGCUCAUCUUUGAUGACUCCUUUGAGCACGAGGUAUGGCAGGAUGCCUCAUCUUUCCGGCUGAUAUUCAUCGUGGAUGUGUGGCAUCCGGAACUGACACCACAGCAGAGACGCAGCCUUCCAGCAAUUUAGCAUGAAUUCAUGCAAGCUUGGGAAACUCUGGAGAGAGGCUGCCUUUCUGGUUCCAUCUCCUUGGGUGUGAGGAUAGAAUUUCGAACACCAAGAGUCAAUUCCCUUGACUUGCAGCCCGAGUAAUUCAAAGCCUCCUCCUAGGGUCAGAAGACACUAAAGGGAAUAUUUGCCUCGCUGCAAUUCAUUUAGGAAACACCCUGCUGUGUGUCAUCUCAUGACAGCACUGGUCUUCUGCCAGUAUUUAAGGUGAACAUUUGAUAGCUUCUACCUUACCAGCCAAAGAUAUUUUUUCCACAUAGAAUAGGUCUAAUUCAAUGUAUAAUGAGAACAUAUGUAGAAACUGUGAAUGGAUUGCUUUAGUUUGUAAUUUUUCUAUGCAGUUAUAUUUUUCUAGUGUAGCUAGACUAUUUUGUCAUCAUGUACCACUACAUUUUUGUUUAUUUUAAUGACAAGCUGUAUAAAUGCUUUACUUCUAGCUAUUUAAUGGUAGCAUUACUGGGGAACUCAGACUUCCCUCUUUUAAUUCUUCUUAGUAAAAGAUACUCAUGAAAAAAGCAGUUUUAU